This 356-nucleotide transfer-messenger RNA is filed under the name Streptococcaceae bacterium. It matches the Rfam family "transfer-messenger RNA". From Rfam's summary of the family: Bacterial tmRNA, also known as 10Sa RNA or SsrA, is named for its dual tRNA and mRNA-like properties. Its role is to liberate the mRNA from a stalled ribosome. To accomplish this part of the tmRNA is used as a reading frame that ends in a translation stop signal. Lineage: Bacteria; Bacillati; Bacillota; Bacilli; Lactobacillales; Streptococcaceae. The record is from RNAcentral.
GGGGUCGUUUUGGAUUCGACAGGCUGUCCUUGGCCGUGAACUGCAACUAGUGCCGGCGCCACUUAAAUCCGUCGCAGAAAUAUAACUGCUAAAAAUAAUACACAAACUUACGCACUCGCUGCCUAAACACCAGCUUGCGUGACUUCCGCGACGUCGCCCAUGCGCCGCGAUAAGUCCAUUUUAGUGGGAUAAGCUAGACACGUUGUCUGACGUGCCCAGUCGAAAACUUUAGGACUCGCUCCGUGCUUGCUUUGAGGCUUGCGCUGGCGCGGGGUUAAACCUUGCAAGUCCUAUGGUUGUAGAAGUUUACGGUACAAACAGUCUGGACAGGGGUUCAAUUCCCCUCGGCUCCAGUU